RNAcentral lists this long non-coding RNA (261 nucleotides) under Vicia faba (fava bean). Lineage: Eukaryota; Viridiplantae; Streptophyta; Magnoliopsida; Fabales; Fabaceae. The record is from RNAcentral.
AUGGCUACUCGCGUCAACACUCUCCAUUACACCUUUGCCAUUCUAUGCAUUGUUGUAGUGUUGGCAUCAGGUGUGACUAGUUCUUCAAUCUCUCCAAUUGAUUAUUUAGCUCCUCCUGAUAUAUGUGGAGAUUAUUGUUGUUGGAAGGCAGCAGGGUCAGGGUUGGAGUGUGAUUUCCGAGCGUGUUUAUACAAAUGUGCAACAUAUCCAGGUAGCCUACACGGAGAGUGUAAAAAGAAUUUUUGUUGCUGCCAUAAAUAG